AUUGAACGCUGGCGGCAGGCUUAACACAUGCAAGUCGAGCGAGCGGCGGACGGGUGAGUAAUGUCUGGGAAACUGCCUGAUGGAGGGGGAUAACUACUGGAAACGGUAGCUAAUACCGCAUACCAUCAGAUGUACCCAGAUGGGAUUAGCUAGGAGGUGGGGUAAUGGCUCACCUAGGCGACGAUCCCUAGCUGGUCUGAGAGGAUGAACAGCCACACUGGAACGGAGACACGGUCUAGACGCCUACGGGAGGCAGCAGUGGGGAAUAUUGCACAAUGGGAGCAAGCCUGAUGCAGCCAUGCCGCGUGUGUGAAGAAGGCCUUCGGGUUGUAAAGCACUUUCAGCGAGGAGGCGUUACUCGCAGAAGAAGCACCGGCUAACUCCGUGCCAGCAGACGCGGUAAUUC
Molecule: ribosomal RNA, 406 nt
Filed under: uncultured bacterium
Lineage: Bacteria
Description: partial 16S ribosomal RNA
Rfam family: Bacterial small subunit ribosomal RNA
Source: RNAcentral